This 102-nucleotide non-coding RNA is filed under the name Heyndrickxia sporothermodurans. Its description in RNAcentral is "Bacillus sporothermodurans SAM-I sequence". It matches the Rfam family "SAM riboswitch aptamer (S box leader)". From Rfam's summary of the family: The SAM riboswitch is found upstream of a number of genes which code for proteins involved in methionine or cysteine biosynthesis in Gram-positive bacteria. Lineage: Bacteria; Bacillati; Bacillota; Bacilli; Caryophanales; Bacillaceae. The record is from Rfam by way of RNAcentral.
UUCUUAUCUAGAGAGGUGGAGGGACUGGCCCUUUGAAGCCUCGGCAGCAGACUUUUCGAAGUACUGUGCCAAUUCCAGAAGCGAAAAGCUUGAAGAUAAGAA